AUCCAGCUGAUCAGUCACAAAUAGGACGAAACACAAUUCCUGGAU
This is a non-coding RNA of Schistosoma curassoni, 45 nucleotides long. The record is from Rfam. NCBI's taxonomy places the organism in Eukaryota, Metazoa, Platyhelminthes, Trematoda, Strigeidida, Schistosomatidae.